RNAcentral lists this small nuclear RNA (19 nucleotides) under Arabidopsis thaliana (thale cress). RNAcentral describes it as "snRNA_04785". Lineage: Eukaryota; Viridiplantae; Streptophyta; Magnoliopsida; Brassicales; Brassicaceae. The record is from RNAcentral.
UUUUUCAUUAUUUUUUUUA